Molecule: ribosomal RNA, 199 nt
Filed under: uncultured bacterium
Lineage: Bacteria
Description: partial 16S ribosomal RNA
Rfam family: Bacterial small subunit ribosomal RNA
Source: RNAcentral
CGGAUUGGAGUCUGCAACCCGACUCCAUGAAGCUGGAUUCGCUAGUAAUCGCGCAUCAGCCACGGCGCGGUGAAUACGUUCCCGGGCCUUGUACACACCGCCCGUCAAGCCAUGGAAGCCGGGGGUGCCUGAAGUGCGCUGCCGCAAGGAGCGCCCUAGGGUAAAACCGGUGACUGGGGCUAAGUCGUAACAAGGUAUC